Molecule: transfer RNA, 84 nt
Filed under: Candidatus Doudnabacteria bacterium RIFCSPHIGHO2_01_52_17
Lineage: Bacteria; Candidatus Doudnaibacteriota
Description: tRNA-Leu
Rfam family: tRNA
About the family: Transfer RNA (tRNA) molecules are approximately 80 nucleotides in length. Their secondary structure includes four short double-helical elements and three loops (D, anti-codon, and T loops).
Source: RNAcentral
GCCGACGUGGCGAAAUUGGCAGACGCACUAGGUUUAGGACCUAGCGCCCGCAAGGGCAUGUCGGUUCGACUCCGACCGUCGGCA